RNAcentral lists this ribosomal RNA (548 nucleotides) under Streptococcus agalactiae. RNAcentral's name for it is "bacterial SSU rRNA". It matches the Rfam family "Bacterial small subunit ribosomal RNA", at positions 1 to 532 of the family's 1533-position model. The record is from RNAcentral. Lineage: Bacteria; Bacillati; Bacillota; Bacilli; Lactobacillales; Streptococcaceae.
UUAAUGAGAGUUUGAUCCUGGCUCAGGACGAACGCUGGCGGCGUGCCUAAUACAUGCAAGUAGAACGCUGAGGUUUGGUGUUUACACUAGACUGAUGAGUUGCGAACGGGUGAGUAACGCGUAGGUAACCUGCCUCAUAGCGGGGGAUAACUAUUGGAAACGAUAGCUAAUACCGCAUAAGAGUAAUUAACACAUGUUAGUUAUUUAAAAGGAGCAAUUGCUUCACUGUGAGAUGGACCUGCGUUGUAUUAGCUAGUUGGUGAGGUAAAGGCUCACCAAGGCGACGAUACAUAGCCGACCUGAGAGGGUGAUCGGCCACACUGGGACUGAGACACGGCCCAGACUCCUACGGGAGGCAGCAGUAGGGAAUCUUCGGCAAUGGACGGAAGUCUGACCGAGCAACGCCGCGUGAGUGAAGAAGGUUUUCGGAUCGUAAAGCUCUGUUGUUAGAGAAGAACGUUGGUAGGAGUGGAAAAUCUACCAAGUGACGGUAACUAACCAGAAAGGGACGGCUAACUACGUGCCAGCAGCCGCGGUAAUACGUAGGU